GUCACCGGCAUGUCGUGAGCGGGUGACGGACAGCUUGGUGUGUUGUGGGCCACAGAUGGCGGGGGACUUUUGUGUUCGCCGAGUGCCUAGACUGGUGUCUUGUCGUGUUGGAGGACACAUGACACAGCUCUGUGCUGGGUUGAUAGGACCUGAGCCCUAGGACCAUGCCUCAAGACUACCUGGCAUGAUGACUCCUUGCUGUCCCCAGUCCACCUAGCCGUGCUGCUGCUCCAGUUUCAACUGUUCUGCCCGCGGCUAUGGAACCCUGACCUGUUCACCGGACGUGCUACCUGUCCCAGACCUGCUGUUUUCAACUCUCUAGAGACAGCAGGAGCGGUAGAGAUACUCUCAAUGAUUGGCUAUGAAAAGCCAACUGACAUUUACUCCAGAGGUGCUGACCUGUUGCACCCUCGACAACUACUGUGAUUAUUAUUAUUUGACCAUGCUGGUCAUCUAUGAACAUUUUAACCUCUUGGCCGUGUUCUGUCAUAAUCUCCACCCAGCACAGCCAGAAGAGGACUGGCCACCCCUCAUAGCCUGGUUCCUCUCUAGGUUUCUUCCUAGGUUUUGGCCUUUCUAGGGAGUUUUUCCUAGCCACCGUGCUUCUACACCUGCAUUGCUUGCUGUUUGUGAACAGCAUGUGAGCAUGUGAGCAUGUGAACAGCUCUCUCCUGGC
Molecule: long non-coding RNA, 676 nt
Filed under: Salmo salar (Atlantic salmon)
Lineage: Eukaryota; Metazoa; Chordata; Actinopteri; Salmoniformes; Salmonidae
Description: lncRNA (ENSSSAG00000108674.1)
Source: RNAcentral